This is a long non-coding RNA of Phoenix dactylifera (date palm), 1339 nucleotides long. RefSeq lists it as uncharacterized. Lineage: Eukaryota; Viridiplantae; Streptophyta; Magnoliopsida; Arecales; Arecaceae. The record is from RefSeq and is a predicted model, not a curated record.
UUGUCACUUUCCCAUGGUCAACCAAACAUGCCAAAAGUACUUUCCUAGGCAUCCUUUUCCUAGGAAUUUGUUUCCCAGGAAUCAUAUUCCUAGGAAGGAAAAUGCUUCCCGCGAACCAAACGAGCCAAUAGUUUGUUCAGAUUACCCAUGACCGUGCCUCCAAAGAGAGGCUAUUUGAUGCCAGUUUUUUAUUUAUUUUCUUUUCUUGGCUGCCUUUUUUUAUUGAAUACAUGGAAUCCUUGUGCGCAUAUUGCAUGAUCUACAGCUUUUUGUGUUGGACGUUGACCCAGGGACUACAGUAAGAAAGAAGGAAAGUCUGGGACUGGAUGGUAUGAUUACUCAUCUUAGUUUCACUCUGAAUUAGAUGUAAUACAUUGUAUCCUCCUUCCCUUUGCAUGCGAUAAGCGUUAUAUAUAACACCUUGUAGGCUGGAGCUGUUGCUUUGCUCUAUUUGGUGUGUCUGUUGAUGUCUUAAAAUUACUCAAACAGAAGAGUAUAAUGCAUGAACAUUAGGACGAUGUUUUUUUAACCCGAUAAAACAUUGUUUUCAUGAGGUGGUCUGAUAUUUAUGCGGUCUGAUAUUUAACCUUCAAGACCAGUAUCUCGUCUUCAAGAAGAUCAAGCAACAGCAAUGGUUAUUACAUACAAAAAGCAAUUCGAGAGGUAAUUGGCUACCAGACUCGCAAUUACUGAAAUCUAAGGGGAAAAAUUGGGUGACAAUUUAUUCUCAAAAUUAAAAGGUUGCUUGGUGAAAGCAUUCCUCCACCCUUUGAUCAUUUUUUUUAUUUUUUAUUUUUUUUUUGAUGUGAAGAACUUAUGUUAUUCAAAUCCUGAUAAGUAAAGAUCUAACAUCUUGUUUGUUUUUAUACCCUUCCUUCAGCUUUUGUGUGUUCUUGCAGGCCCAACAGGUCAGCUGAAAUCCCUUGUUUCUAAAAGCUUCUCUCCAACUGCAUUGGUAGCUGUUAUUCUACCAACAACCAAUUACAGAAUCUAUGAGAAAGGAUCGAUGACCGCAAGAUGAUUGUGUUCCAAACUUCAUUAUUUCACCUGCUUGGCCGGAAAAAGUUAGCAUCAUGGACAAAACCUCAUGAGAUCAGUGUAUCAUACUUGGGAGCAUGAGACAUUGGAAAGAUGUGAAUGAAAGUAUCGAGUGUGCGAGCAAGUACAUUAUCGAAUUUUGGGACCAUUUGUUUUGAGGAUUUGACUGUGGAAAUCAUGUUCGACGUAUUAUUGACACAUUUGGAUGGACAAGGAUUGGAAAGAAAUGACAUUUUUUUAGAGUGUAUUUGCAUGAAUGCAAGAGCAGAAGGAUUCAUGAAUACAUAAACCAUAUUUUGUA